This is a long non-coding RNA of Gossypium raimondii (Peruvian cotton), 1003 nucleotides long. RefSeq lists it as uncharacterized. The record is from RefSeq and is a predicted model, not a curated record. The transcript is spliced from 3 exons. Lineage: Eukaryota; Viridiplantae; Streptophyta; Magnoliopsida; Malvales; Malvaceae.
UUUCAAUCGUCACUCCCUAAUGCCAAAACCAAAAAUCUUAUCCCCUUUCCUUCUACUCUGAACAACCAAGGCAAUUUGGCUCCUAUUCAUCCCAAAUCGAUCUUAAGGUCUCUCCCUCCAGGUACUGUUCUUCUUUCUUCUUUAGUGAUCUUUUUGCUAAUCUAUGCGCUUCUAUAUUUUCAGACCUUGGGAUAAAAUAGAAUCUGACUUUUUGAAAGAAAUCUUUUAAGCUUUGAAUGUCACUGAUAAUUGCUCCUAUUUCUGAUCUGUCUCGAUUUUCACUUUGACAUUUUGUUUUCACUGUUCUUGAAUCUCCUAUUAUGUCUAAAGUGUGAUAUCCCAACUGGGCCCCUAACCUUGUUGCUUGAAAUCCUGCAUGUGCUUCCGCCGCAAGCAGAGAUGCAACAUUGUCAUGAAGGAUUGAUUUUGCUCCAACAAUUCUACCCUCCUCAUUUUUAACGAUGAGGCCUAACGCUAAUCUGUGGUUCUGUGAGUCAAAAGUCGCAUCGAAAAAGAUGGCCUUAGUCGUCCUUUGUAGCCUCUGUCUACGCCUUACGCCGGUUUCCAAGCUUAUUCUUGCUUGUCCAGAUUACCCAUAAACCGUAGCAAAAUCCCAUGCACUGUUCAUUUGUCCCUUUGCUGAAGACCCAGGGCAUCUUUGGAAGACAUGGAUGCUAUCUUCUUUUUCCUAACCACAUCUCGAACAGCAGUCCUCAGUCAUUGCUCUUCUCAGCUUUAGAUUGGAGAAAGUGGGGAUGUAAUUCCACGCAAUUUUCCACACUGUAAUUUUAAUUUUUGAAGGCAUAUGUAGAUUCCAUAAUUUCUUGUAAAAAUUUUUAGAAUCGGGCUGUAAAUAAGCAUUAGGAUCAAUUGUAGUCUCCUGUAAUAGUUUAUAGGCGCUUCUUACUGAAAAGAUUCCAGUUGCCUCUCCUCUCCAUACUUGGAUGUCUUCGUGAAUAGUCUUUGAAAGCGAGAUCUGUAAUAUCUUCUUUGCGAUAUCCGU